RNAcentral lists this long non-coding RNA (1866 nucleotides) under Paramuricea clavata. Lineage: Eukaryota; Metazoa; Cnidaria; Anthozoa; Malacalcyonacea; Plexauridae. The record is from RNAcentral.
UCUGCAGAUAAAUCCCUAACUAGCUCCAAAUGUAUAGCUCUAGUCACACAACAAGAAAACAAUGCUAUAUAAACCUUACUUGGACAUUUUGCACACAACACUUUACAAACAAUGGACCUGCAAAAUCUAUUCCCACAUUAGAAAAGGGUGCAGCUUCCCUAACUCGAAAUCCUGGCAAAUCUGCCGUCUGUGCUACACUAUAUGCUUUUCCCUCUAAUCUUUUACAGGUGACGCAUCUACCUAAAAUCCGCUUCACCAUUUGUCUUCCUUUCACAACCCAAUAUUUUGUCCUUAAUCUUCCUAAGGUUGCCCGUACACCACAAUGAUGCACUUCACUGUGACAUUUCUGGACAAUCAAUUCAGUCAGUCUGUGGUCCUUGGGUAUAAUGAUUGGGUGUUUGGUAUUGAACUCUAACUCAGAAUUAUGUAAUCUACCUUUACAUCUCAGAAUGCCUUCCUCUUCCAUCAAACCUAAACUAUUACUCAGUUGGGUGUACUUUCUAUCUACUUUCAACCCUGCCUGAGACUCUUUAAUCCAUAUAUUCUCUGCCUCAACUAACUCAUUCACUGUCAACUCUCCACUUCGCCUAUCAAUGCCCCUUGCUUUUGCUCGUACAUUAAACCCAAACCUGAGUACCCAAGCUGUUACCCUAAAAAGUCGUUCUGCUGUCCCAUAAUCAUUCAAGUCAAUCACUCUACUUAUACUAGCUGGCUCUGUCACCUUUACAACCAUAACUACAGACUUUCGUUCCUCUUCCAAAACUGUCUUUGUCUUAUCAGUAGCUUCAAAUUUUGGCCACUCAUCUUUUGACUUAGUUAGCCAAUCUGGCCCCACCCACCAUAGCUUGUUAUCUUUCAAUUGUGAAGCAAUUACACCUGUAGACCCAAUGUCAGCAGGAUUUUCAACCCCGGGACAAUGCCCCCAAUCCCCUUUGUUCCUUAGCUUCAAGAUCUCAUUUACUCGGUGGUGGACAAAUUGUUUCCAUUCACCCCUAUUCAUUAUCCAGUAGAGUGCUGUCAUGCUGUCAAGCCAAAACUUGGUACUAUCUAUCCUAACUUGGUUUUCAAGUGACGCUUUUACUGACUUCAUAAUCUGCGCUAACAGCCUCGCUGACAUUAACUCUAACCUGGGAAUACUAGUUGCUUUUAAGGGAGCUACUAUUGCCUUUGAUGUCAAUAAGCGGACAUAAACCCCUACAUUAGUACAAUACACAAAAUAUACAACUGCACAGUAGGCCUUCUCGCCCGCAUCGCCAAAUCCAUGUAAGGUACACUCCAAAAUUAAACAUCUUCUGCACGAUAUUGAUAUAUACAGCGAGGAAUGGUAAUUUCCUUAGUUUCUAUCAAAUCCCUGUACCAACCCUCCCACUUAUGCAGUAACUCCUCAGUGAAGUUUUCAUCCCAAUCAACUUUAUCCUUACAUACUUCUUGGAACAAUAUUUUGGCACGUACAAUCACUGGACUAACUAUUCCGAGAGGAUCAAAUAAACUUGCCAAAACACUCAGUAGAUUUCGCUUUGCAGAUGAUAAGGUUUUUGCCCUUUCCCCCACUCUCGCAAUCUCAAACUUAAACUCAUCGCUCUUGUUAUCCCAUGCCUGCCCUAACACUUUAUGGCAUUUUGAUUCACAUCCUGUUACUCCAAGGGAUAGUUUUGCAUAUGAUUGAUGAUCCUCAACAAUGUGUUUUAUCUUACAUUGGUCUGUCUCAUGCACCUUAAUUUUACUUUCCAAUAGAUUACUGUUAGUUGACCACUUUCUUAGCCCGAAUCCCCCUUGUGCCAUUCUACUCACAGUCUUAUCAUAUUUCUGAAAUGCCUUAUCUACCGUGCUUUCCCCACUAACUAAAUCGUCUACAUAGAAACUUUC